Capsicum annuum is the source of this 9413-nucleotide RNA transcript. RefSeq lists it as uncharacterized. The transcript is spliced from 10 exons. Lineage: Eukaryota; Viridiplantae; Streptophyta; Magnoliopsida; Solanales; Solanaceae. The record is from RefSeq and is a predicted model, not a curated record.
CAUCCAAUAAUCUCUAUGCUUUCUCAAUUUUGUCUAUUUUUAUUUUAUUUAUAUUGCUUGUUUGAUUCAAAUUCUUUUUUUGCUCAAUUUCGUUUGUUUGAUUUCACUAAUCUCUAUUUUCACUCAAUUUCUCCUAAUGACUUUUAUCGGAAUGUUGACCAAAAUACUGAUGUGGAUGUAGCUGUAUUUAAAACCGCUGGAAACGAUAUGUUUAUAUGUAUAGUGAGGUGUUGUGCUUGGAAAAGUAUAAGAUGUAAUUUUUCUGGGUAGCUAGCGCGGGAUGUUGUUGAAGGUCUUCUCGGUGUUACUUUUGCAUAGCUUAUAAUGAUCCUUCAAUCUUGGUCAUGACAACAAGUUGCCAUUCCAAUAGUUUAGGCUUCUGGAUUCUUGACACGUUUGAAAAAUUUGUAUCGCUGAGCAUCGUGCUUGUUUGUCCAGAAGUACUACCUUUUUUUCCUUGUUUUUCUCGUAUAGCUUACUGUUUGAGGCCUGCUAGUGAGAAUAGAGUUCAGCAACUGCAUUUUCUUUUUGUGCUUCUGCUUUCUUCUGACUCUUGAAUAGUGUGCAGAUUUAGCAUCUUUCUACCUCUUGUAUAAUUUUGAGUUUGCAUCUUGAACCUGUGUUAAUUAAAAGGUCAUUGUGAUUUAAUGUUCAUUGUCAUUCCUAUAUACAUAAUCCCCAUGAUCUUUAAAUAUAAACUCAGAUGAUACAAGUCACUAGUUUGUUUUAUUAUCUACUAGAAUUUCUUGGCUGAUCGGUUUCUGGUUCAUCUGUUCAGAUGAAGAUAUUUGUUUGUGAAAACUAAUUAAUAAAAGAAUAAUGAAAGUGAAACAUAAUUUAAUAUAAGUAUCACGCAAGCUAGCUUACAAGUUCGUGUAUCUGCUUAUGCAAAAGGAACUACUCUACUUAGCAGAUUGGGGGUAUAAGGAACUACUAUUUUUUUUCAUUGUAGACUAUAGGGUAUUGUCAUAAGAAGAUGCAUUGUAACAAUGAUUGUUUAUACUUGCCGUCUAAUGAGUUCAAGGAGUUUUUUUAUCUGUAAUUGUGUUUGAGUGAACCCAAGCUUGAUCUGUGAUGAAGAACUAUGAAAAAAGUAAUUAAAAUCGGCGUAAGGUGAUUCUUUUUUACCUAGCACCUCUGUCCUCCUUGCUCGAUUCCAAAUCUUAUAUACAUAGAUGAGUUAAGUACCAUCAUUGAGAUCAAAGAGGUAAUUAUUAUCCAUUCCCAUAUCCUGCUCCCAUGGGAAACUGGUGUAUCUGUUCAUAAGAAAGUCAAAAUUAUUAGUUGUUUUGUACUCAUAAAAAUUAGGCUUCAGCUCUGUUCUGUUAAGGAAUUUGUAGAGGUAUUUGCUUUUUCUGUUAAUAUAAUGUUAAAGAUUUUGAAAUGAGAACAACUAGAUGCAUGCAGGUUAGUUUUGUCUUUUGCUAGAUUGUAUAUCUUGAAAAAAAAGGAAUGACAAAUCUGCAUGAACCACUUAAUUAAGUACUAAAAUGGGAAUCCUAUUAGUUAACGUUUAUGAACCAGUUAACUGUAUAAUUAAGGCACUGACACACUUAUCAUAUCACAAGUAAGCAAUCAUGUUUUACCUAGUUUUUUGUUUGAUAUCCAUAUAAAAAUGUCAUUCCCAGAUUUUUUGUGAACGUCUCAUAUCAAGUAACUCCCCCUACCAAACAAGGUACUUGCUGCCAUUUCUGUUUAUAUUGAUGUUAGUAUAAGCCAUACAUAAUUUUUCCUUCAAGCACUUCUUUACACACUCCUCGAGAUACAACAUUCCCCAGUAAGUUGAAUUAUCAGGCAAUUUCUGUUCAGUAUUCUUCACAAACACUUCUUUAUCAGUAUAAUUAAGUGGUGUGAUUCUUCUACAUCCUUUGGUAAAAUCCUUCUUAUUUCACUGAUCUCAUGAAGUAGCUGUGAAACCAUCAGUACACCAAUAGUAUCUAUCUUCACUAAUAGAAACUCUAUCAGUACCACAAGUCCUAUAAUGGUCACAUAUAUCUUUAUGUAGUAUCUUCACUACAACACAGUGAUUGGUAGCUUUAUUUCAUUUCAGGAACUCUAUCUUUCCCUCUAGAUUUAGUGUGAGUUUCAAACUCAAGUUAUUCUUGGCUUUGAAUAUGAAAUAAAAUGCAUCAGCAUUGGAAUUAAAUAUUGGUCUCAAGUAGUCAUUUUCGUUGAGGGAAUCAUCGCCAUUGAACUUUUUUUUAUCCUAAGGAUCCCAUCUUGAAACUUUUUGUUGUUUUUUCUCAAGAACUAGUUGGGGUGACUGACCUGAGUCACCUGAGUAUAACCUGAACAAAUAAUCACCUAGAGUUGGAUCAACACUUCCCCUCCAGACCUCAUGGAUCGGUCAAUACCAGUUAUCUGGUCCCAACCAAGCUUCAUUCCUUGUAAUAAUGUGUCGACAGGGUAAGAUAACCUUUACCACAGGUACUCACCAGCCAACAGAUUUCUAGAAUCUCCAAGCACAAGAUUACCUAAAUCCAAGAGCUUCAGAACUGGUAUGGAACAAUCUGGUUUGGAUUAUAAAUUGAUAAGGUUGUUCCUAUAAAAUUUUGGAGAAAAAUUCAUCCUUUUUGUUAAACUUAAGAAUUGCACCAAGUCCAGCUGGAUUCCUUCUAUUGCGAACCAUUCUAUACUGGGUCCUUCAUUCUUGUACCGCAAUAAUAGGUACUGGUUCCCAUAUAGUUCAUUUGGACCAAAAAAUCCUAAUUGAAAUCUUUGGUUCGACGAAACAAAAGUCUCGUCGUACUAGAGGACUUGAUUUGGAAACACGGUAUCAUUAGCAGCAACGACACCAACAUAUGCAAUUAUAGAUAUAAAUAGUAGCCAAUAAAGUAUAACGACCAUUUCUUUCUUGCCCAAAUAGGUGAUUAUUAAGGCAAUCAAUGUUUCAAUUUAAGCCCAACUUUUUGCUUAGGCUUAAGUUACAGAGCUUAGUGAACACUAAAGAAGAAAUUGGCAAAACUUGAAACUACAUAACUUAAUGAAUACUAAAGAAGAAAUUGAUAGUUUAGUUUCAUUUGAGGCAACUAUACUAAUGUACAAAGAAUUAAUGCACUAUUCUAGACUUAUUUUAAAGGUAUUGGAGGGGUAGAAAUAGAAUGAAACAGCAUGAUUAUCAAUGGUAGAAAGAGUAGCUGUUGUAUCCAUUGGCAUGCUCUAUUACUUCUCAGCCUUGGGAUAUUUUAAUUUGGAUUGGGCUUUAAUGGUAGAAAGAGUAGCUGUGGUGUUAUUUGAAGAAAAUAUGGUAGAUUCUCACCCUAUAAAUGGAAUAGUACAUGAUAACAUACCUAUUCCUUUGGUAAGCAUGGUUGUAGCAUCAUUGGCUUUUGCUUAGUUGAAUGUUCUCAUCUCCCGAAAGUAUGCUGUAAUGUCAUCCUUUUAUUGAUAAAAUUGGUAGUGCAAGGUGGUGAUUUCUAAUUUAUCUUCUUUUGAUUCUCUUAUGUGUAUCCUCAAGUGGUUUAAUCAUUCCUAAGUGUGUCAACUAAAAAAGACAACACAGCUUCACUUCUUGUGUGGGUGUCAUUUGUUUCUACAACUUGUUAAUAAAAGGAAACUUUUUUUGUAAAGACGUGCGUUAUUGUUUUUAUAGGUUAUUAGUUGUUAGCUAAUUCUUCUACUGAGGUCCUUAAUGAUAACUUUAUCAGGUAGGUUACUAGUGAUGCUGAUAAGCAUCCUUGCACAUAAUUUUUUAUCAUUUAAUUUUUCUCAAUCUAAUAUUUUAUGUAUUUUACAAGGUUAUGGAACCUAGUAAGCAAGGGAUGUAACUUAUUAAUGACCAGGAUAGUGAAAUCUACAAAAAUAGGGUGAAUUUUUUUUUUGAAUUAUGCUUUUUGAAAAACAGGAGAAGAACGUAAAAUACGAUGUCCAUGUAACAAAUGUUGCAAUACUACUUUAGGAACUCGUACAAAAAUUGAGACACUUUUACAAGUACAUGAAAUACUUCAGAAUUAUACUUUCUGGUUUCACCAUGGAGAACGCUUGGGUGAACCGUUAACUGAAUCCGAAUCUAAAGAUGAAUAUGAUGAUGAAGUGGAAAAAUAUGAGAGUGGAGAUAAAGUAGAAGAAUUAUUGAGAUAUUUGUAUCCUAAUAUUGAUGGUGGACCUAUGCACACUAAUUGUGUUGAGGGGGAGCCAAAUGUUAUAGCACAACAAUUUUAAAAACUAUUGAACGAUUUUGAGCGGCCACUGUAUCAAAAUUCAAAAAUGUCAAAGCUUUCCACUUUGAUUAAAUUGCUUCUCAUCAAAAGUAUGGGCCAUUGGAGUAAUGCAUCAUUUACAAUAUUAUUGAAAAUGUUGUAAGAAGAGUUGUUUCCUGAUGGUGCCGAUUUGCCAAACUCACAUUAUGAGGCAAAGAAAAUAAUUCGCAAACUCAGACUUUCUUACAAUAAGAUAGAUGCUUGCACUAAUGAUUGCAUAUUAUACUGGAAGGAAGAUAGCUCACUCAAUUCUUGGAAAGUUUAUGGUAUGUCUAGAUGGAAAAUAGAUACCCAUAGUGGAGAAAUAAGGAACAAAAAAGGUAAAAAGAUAGCAACAAAGAGUUUACGCUAGUUUUCCUCAAAGCCUAAACUUCAAAGGUUGUUUAUGUAUUCAAAGACAUCUACUCUAAUGACAUGACAUAAGGAUAAAAGAGUUGAUGAUGGGAUAAUGAGGCACCCAACCGAUUCAAUGGCAUGGAAUUUACUUGAUGAACAUUAUCCUUCACUUGCUGCCGAGCCCCUUAAUGUUAGACUUGGACUUUCUAUUGAUGGAUUUCAGCCAUUUCAAAAUUCAAAAACCUCACAUAGCAUUUGGCCUGUGGUUCUUAUUCCUUAUAAUUUACCAUCUUAGUUGUGUAUGAAACAAGAUAACUUUAUUUUGUCAAUGCUUAUUCCUGGUCCAAAUGGUCCAUAAGAUGCAAUUGAUAUAUAUCUUCAGCCUUUGAUUGAGGAAUUGAAUGAGUUAUGGAAAAUAGGUGUUGAUACCUAUGAUGCAUUAACUAAACAAAAUUUUAUGUUGCAUGCAUCUUUGUUAUAGAUCAUCAAUGACUUUCCAGCAUAUAAAAAUUUAUCUAGAUGGAGUACCAAAGGAAAAUUGGUAUGUCAAAGAUACUUCCUCAAUUCGAUUGGCUAACAAUAAGUAGUAGUGUUUUAUGGGUCAUCGGUGUUACAUUCCUCUUAGUCACAAAUGGAGAUAUGAGAAGAAGCGCUUUCAUGAUACAGAAGAGAAAAAUCUACCACCAAAAAAUCAUUCUAGUACAGAGAUACUUAAUCAAGUACAAUAUCUUAAAGGUCAAUAAUUAUCAAGAGAUCCAAAGAAAAGGAAGAGCAUAUCACAUAAAGUUCAAACAGAUAGCUGGAACAAGAAAAGUAUCUUUUUUAAACUUCCAUAAUGGGAGUAUCUCUUAUUGCGACAUAAUUUGGAUAUUAUGCAUAUUGAAAAAAUAUAUGUGAGGAUUGUAUGGGGACAUUUAUGAAUGUCAAAUGAAAGACCAAGGAUACAAUUAACACUCGAUUAGACUUGCAAGAGAUGAACAUUAGGCCUGAAUUUUACCUCAUCCAAAAGGGGGAGAAAGUUGAAAUUCUAACUGCAUGCUACACAUUGCCUCCUGAAGAUAAGCACAAAUUUUGUCUUUUCUUAAAGAAUCUGAAAGUGCCUAAUGGUUUUUCAUCUAAUAUAUCUCAAUGUGUGAACUUAAAAGAUAACAAGAUAUCUGGGUUGAAAAGUCAUGAUUGUCAUAUUCUUCUACAACAUCUACUCCCUCUUGCACUUCGUGGUAUGUUGUCCAAAGAAGUGUAUGAGCCACUUAUUGAGUUAUCUUAUUUUCUUAGUGUGCUUGUAUCCAAGGAGUUGAGAAUAGAUGAUUUGGAACAUAUUGAAGUGCAAAUUCCCAUAACACUUUGCAAGUUAGAAAAGGUCUUUCCUCCUUCAUUUUUUGAUGUCAUGGUGCACUUGCCUAUUCAUUUAGCUACUAAAGCUAAGAUUACCGAGCCUAUUCAUUAUAGGUGGAUGUAUCCUGUGGAACGAUGGUUGUAUUUUUUAAAAUCUCUCAUUGGUAAUAAGGCAUGCCCUGAAGGUUCUAUUGCAGAGGGCUACAUUGCGAAUGAGUGUAUGACCUUGUGUUCAAAGUACUUCCAUAGAAUUGACACAAAAUUCAACCGACCGGAAAGAAAUUAUGAUGGGGGUUUAAAAGAAUCUGAUGGAGGUUUAUCUGUAUUUUAUCAACCUGGAAAAACUUUGAGAGCUAAAGAUCUAUGUGUGAUUGAUACCGAUGAAUUGGAACAAGCACAUAUCUACAUAUUAAAGAAUUGUGAUGAAUUCUUACCGUAUAUAAAGUAUGGGAAGAACUCAUUUAGUCUCAUUUUUCUUAUUUCCUUCAUGGUAAUUUCCUUUUGAUAUGAGAUUUAUGAUUCACUUUAAUUUUGUAGAGAAUUUGCGCAAACUCAUAAGGAUACUAUCAGACACUUGUCUGAUGCAAAAUGGAACCAACAAUUUAUUAAAUGGUUAAAAGAUAGGGUAAGUAAUAUAUAACCAUCAAAUUUAAAAUUUUAGUAUUGUAUUACUCAUUCUAAAGUAUUCAGUGCAAUCUUAUUCAUAGGUCGCACAAUUGCAUAAAAGAGAUGAUCGUCGGAUCAUGGAAGAUUUGCUCUCAUUUUCACGCGGUCCUACCAAAUAUUCGACACAUUGCAAUAGUUAUAUUGUUAAUGGAUAUAGAUUUCAUGUAGAAGAUUAUGAUAAAAAGUUAAGAACUCAGAAUUGUGGUGUUGUUGUAGUUGGGGAUAAUGGUACUCCUGGUGAUAACGUUGAUUACUAUGGAGUUUUAACAGAGGUUAUUGAGUUGCAAUUUGUAUCAAAUAAAAGAGUGAUCUUAUUUUGAUGCAAGUGGUUUGAUGUGUAUGAUGAAAUAAAUGGAGUCAAAAAAGAUGAGUACGACUUCGUGAGUGUUAAUCCAGGUAGAUUUUUGAAAACAAAUGAGUCAUUUGUUUUAGCGAACCAAGCAUCUCAAGUUUUUUAUAUCAAUGAUAAUUCCAACAAAAGUUGGCAAGUAGUGAGGAAGACUCAACCUCGUGAUUUGUAUGAGACAUUGGAAAAAGUGGAUGAUAGUAUUGAAAUGGAUAAUGAUGAUGUAGAGUUAGAAAGUACGGCACAAAAAAAGAAAAAGAACUAAUGAGGUAAUGUUUUGGUUAUCUAAAAUAAUAAUUAUAGUGUUAGACAUUCUUAUGACAUGCAUGAUGAUUUCCUGUAUUACUAUAUCGUCCCACAUUUUUUUCAUAUUCUUUUUUUCAGUUUUAUUUCUUUUACAAGUUCAAGAUGAAACAAUUAAAGGUUGAAAAUGUGGUCGGAUCUACUGAAAAGAGUACUAUGUAUACAUUUAUUAUGACUGGUGUUAUAGGAAAAGGACGAGGGAGAGGGCUUAGAUAUUUGGCUGAUAAAGAUAAUAUGUCAACUAAGAGUCUAUUUCCUCAAUCUAGUAAUGUUGUCAAGCAAUACCUCCAAUAUGUUGAAACAGGUUCUAUAGGGAUGGGUCGAGGACAAGGGCUUAAAUACUCCAUCAUGUCUUUUAGUCAAGGAAUGGAAACCAUUGGUAAGAAAUACACUCAAGAAUUUGAAACAUGUUCUAUGGGAAAGGGACUAGAGCAAAAACCUAUAUCUUUGAGCUCCUCUUUAGGGUUUUUAUGAAAAAAAAGAUGGAAUUUUUAAAAAAUAGAAUUUUUAAAAAAUAGCACCCUCUGUGCUAACCAACAUGUGCGAACUCCAUUUAAAAUAACAAGUUCAAGUUCUACCAUGCCUUCUAGUCAAGAAAUGCGAAGAAUUGAUAAAUAUUCCUUGAUUCUUGAGAAAGAGGAUAUGCAAGCCAAUAUUUCAUUGCCUCCGUCUGUUGAUCAAGUCACGCAACAUUCUCAAAAUGUUGAAAAAGGGGUUUCUGGAAAUAAGUGGAAUCUUUCAGCAAGAGCAUCCUGAAUGCUAACCAACAUGUGCGAACUCCAUCUAAAGUCACAAGUUCAAUUUCUACCAUGCAUUCUAGUCAAGUAAUGCAAAGAAUGGAUAAAGAUCCCUUGGUUCUUGAGAAAUAGAAUACGCAAGCUAAUAUUUCAUUGCCUUCAUCUAUUGAUCAAGUCAUGGAACACUCUCAAAAUAUUGAAAAAAGGUUCAUCUAAUCGUGAAAAGGUGAAAAGAGUUCGAGGUUGCAAUAAGUGCAAAGAAGCUGCUUCACUUGAAAUCAGAGAAAACUGAAAUUAACCUUUUACAAUAAUUGAACAGUUCAAAAAAAAUGACAAACUAUUUUUGAGGCAUUUGGGAAAAAUUAUUCAUGAUUCCAGUAUCUGUCCGCUGGGAGUAUCGUCAAGGAGUGAUUUAGCCAAGAAAAAUUGAAUCACAUGUGGGCAACUGUUGAGGAUAAAUUUGACGGUGUUGAACUGAGUGAUUAUCGUGAACAUAUUUUGAGAUGGAUGAAUGAGUUAUGGAACAAAUGGAGAGGAUACUUAUAUAGAGCAUAUGUGAAUAAUAAGUCACUUCAACAAGCUCUGAAGAACAAGCCAAAUGGAAUAGACAAGAAAGAAUGGGAGUGGUUGGUAAAAGAACAUCUUUCUUCUGAAGCUUUUCAGGAGAAAAGCAAAAGGAAUACAGUGAAUCGAGCUAAGUUGACGCAAGAUUAUUCGAGAUAUUAUUUUUGAAAAGGGGAGGGGGGAGAUGGCAAUCCACCAGAUUUGGGGACUAUUUACUAUAAGAGUCAAAAGAAAGAUAACAAGCAUAACAAGCUCAUUGAACCUGAAGUAAUUCAAAAAUAUGCUCGAAUAGAAGAAAUAGUGAAUACAGAGCCAUAUUUAUCUAGCAUAGAGAUUGUUAAAAAGUUUUUUGGACCUCAAAAUUAUAGCCAUGUAAUUUCCUUUAGGGGUGGAGUAAAGGCGAAAGACUUAAAAUGUGGCACUUCCUCCAAGGCUGAAUUAUUGUCCACACUACGUUCUACUCAAGAGGAAAACAAAUACUUGAAUGAGGAAAAAAAGUCAUUGAAUGAUCGCCUGUCUACCUUAGAAGAUGAGAUGAAAGAAAUUAGAAAAAUGAAAGAAUUCUUUGCUACUCAACAACAAGAAGUCAGGGCUACAACAUCGCCAAUUUCAAAUGAAUGACCAUUGCCUUAUGAUCUCCAAGAGUUUCUUGAUUUAGGUGAAGCAGUAGGCACUGAAAGUGGAGGACUUUAAUUUUUUUUGGCCGUAUGAUAGAAGUUGGUGAUUUGAACUAAAAGUCAAGGACUUAAACAGUAGAAAUAGGAGUUACUUGAUUAUAUUUUUGCCAUGUAUUCAAAUUUUAUGGAAAAUUUGAUAUCAUACUUAGCUUGAUCGGGAUGGUAACUAUGUUUUUUGUGAAAUAAAUAUUGAAAUUAAUAUCAUGGGAUGUUAACUUAGUUUUUUGGUCUCUAAUUAUAUCAUGUUUUU